Non-coding RNA from Picea glauca (white spruce), 123 nucleotides. The record is from Rfam. NCBI's taxonomy places the organism in Eukaryota, Viridiplantae, Streptophyta, Pinopsida, Pinales, Pinaceae.
AUGUACAUUCCUAUAGCAUAGUGUUAAUGCAAAGGAUCCCAUUCGAACUAUGUAGUUAAUUGCAGUCAGGCUAGAGUAGUAUUGGGAUGGGUGACCACCUGGGAAGUCCUAGUGUUUUACGUG